AUACGUAGGGGGCAAGCGUUAUCCGGAUUUACUGGGUGUAAAGGGAGCGUAGACGGCACUGCAAGUCUGGAGUGAAAGCCCGGGGCUCAGCCCCGGGACUGCUUUGGAAACUGUGGAACUAGAGUGCAGGAGAGGUAAGUGGAAUUCCUAGUGUAGCGGUGAAAUGCGUAGAUAUUAGGAGGAACACCAGUGGCGAAGGCGGCUUACUGGUCCAUUACUGACGCUGAGGUGCGAAAGCGUGGGGAGC
Molecule: ribosomal RNA, 247 nt
Filed under: uncultured bacterium
Lineage: Bacteria
Description: partial 16S ribosomal RNA
Rfam family: Bacterial small subunit ribosomal RNA
Source: RNAcentral